This 87-nucleotide transfer RNA is filed under the name Colletotrichum somersetense. RNAcentral describes it as "tRNA-Glu". It matches the Rfam family "tRNA". Rfam says of the family: Transfer RNA (tRNA) molecules are approximately 80 nucleotides in length. Their secondary structure includes four short double-helical elements and three loops (D, anti-codon, and T loops). Lineage: Eukaryota; Fungi; Ascomycota; Sordariomycetes; Glomerellales; Glomerellaceae. The record is from RNAcentral.
UCCGAUAUGGUGUAGUGGCCAACAUGAUGCCCUCUCAUCACUAUGAGAGGUUAGGCAUAGCCCCGAGUUCGAUUCUCGGUUUCGGAA